AACCUCCGCAAUGCGAGCAAUCGGGACGGGGGGACCCCAAGUGCCACUCUUAACGGGGUGGCUUUUCUUAAGUGUAAAAAGCUUUUGGAAUAAGGGCUGGGCAAGACCGGUGC
This 113-nucleotide ribosomal RNA is filed under the name uncultured archaeon. RNAcentral's name for it is "partial 16S ribosomal RNA". It matches the Rfam family "Archaeal small subunit ribosomal RNA", at positions 345 to 458 of the family's 1478-position model. The record is from RNAcentral.